This 206-nucleotide ribosomal RNA is filed under the name uncultured bacterium. RNAcentral's name for it is "partial 16S ribosomal RNA". It matches the Rfam family "Bacterial small subunit ribosomal RNA", at positions 568 to 774 of the family's 1533-position model. The record is from RNAcentral.
UGCGUAGGCGGGUUUCUAAGUCAGAGGUGAAAGCCUGGAGCUCAACUCCAGAACUGCCUUUGAUACUGGAAGUUUUGAGUAUGGCAGAGGUGAGUGGAACUGCGAGUGUAGAGGUGAAAUUCGUAGAUAUUCGCAAGAACACCAGUGGCGAAGGCGGCUCACUGGGCCAUUACUGACGCUGAGGCACGAAAGCUGGGGAGCAAACA